This 1026-nucleotide long non-coding RNA is filed under the name Piliocolobus tephrosceles (Ugandan red Colobus). RNAcentral describes it as "lncRNA (ENSPTEG00000034762.1)". The record is from RNAcentral. Lineage: Eukaryota; Metazoa; Chordata; Mammalia; Primates; Cercopithecidae.
AUGCCACUAGCUCCAAGCUGUAGACACAUUUUCUUUCAGCCCUUGGGGCUGGUGUUGCCAUUUCUGUGGGGUAGUUCACCUGCGGGCAGGUGGUUCUCAGUUCCCAAAGUCGGGUGGCAAGGGGUGCUCUCCGGAAAUGCUGACGCUUCCCCUGGGAUGUCAGCAGGGUCGAUGGAGACGGACAAAAUGAGGCAGCCCAGGCGAGUGUCUGGGAGGGUGAGCUGUCCGAGUUACUUGGGGCAGGGAGGUCUUCCAAUCCCCCAUUGCGGCCUAGGUCCGACCCCUGCCCCAACCGCCGCCACCGGGCAAGAAAGGCUGGGCCUCCAGGGUGCCCUGGGCACAGGCCUGGGCUCCGGAGGGCGGCGUUGGCCGGGUGCAGCCCGCUGGAACCCAGGCAGGAGGAGAGCCUGGGCGUCACUAGGGGCCGGGGCCGGGGCCGGCGACUGCCGCGGCGCGAGGGUGGGUGGGGACGCGCCUCUGGAUCCAGAGCGCAGGCUGGCGGCUCACCGAGGCCAGCCCCGUCCCGUCCCUUCUGGGGGUUGGAGGCCCCGACCUCGCCGCCCUCACUCCCCAGAGAGGCGCUCUCCGUCACCCUGGCCCGCCCCGCCCCGCUUCGCGCCCCGAGCUGGGACCCCGGGACCCACUCCCUCAGAGAGGUUGCGUAGCCCACCGCUACGGCCCGGCCGGGCAGGGCUCGGGUCCGGGCGGGGGUUCCGGGAGCCGAGAGCUAUUUUUGCAAACGCGUCAGCCACUGGGGAGGAAGAGCCGGCUCCGGGCCCAUUGUGUCUGCGCCGCGCCGCGCGGCGCGGGAGGGGCCGCGGGGUGGCGGCUGGGGCGCAACGAAGCGCGCGAAAACGGCCGGCGGGGCGGGGAGGACCGCGCCUGACCCCCGGCGGCGUGCGGGGCGGGGCCCGGGGCGGGGCGUGGGCGGGUCCUGGGCGGGGCGCGAGGGGGCGGGCCCGGGCGCCCUCCGGCCGCUGCAGGCUGGUGGCUGCUGCGGCGGCGCGGGGACUGCGGGGACUGUGA